GACGAACGCUGGCGGCGUGCUUAACACAUGCAAGUCGAACGGAAAGGCCCUGCUUUUGUGGGGUGCUCGAGUGGCGAACGGGUGAGUAACACGUGAGUAACCUGCCCUUGACUUUGGGAUAACUUCAGGAAACUGGGGCUAAUACCGGAUAGGAGCUCCUGCUGCAUGGUGGGGGUUGGAAAGUUUCGGCGGUUGGGGAUGGACGCGCGGCUUAUCAGCUUGUUGGUGGGGUAGUGGCUUACCAAGGCUUUGACGGGUAGCCGGCCUGAGAGGGUGACCGGCCACAUUGGGACUGAGAUACGGCCCAGACUCCUACGGGAGGCAGCAGGGGGGAAUAUUGCACAAUGGGCGGAAGCCUGAUGCAGCAACGCCGCGUGCGGGAUGACGGCCUUCGGGUUGUAAACCGCUUUCGCCUGUGACGAAGCGUGAGUGACGGUAAUGGGUAAAGAAGCACCGGCUAACUACGUG
This 468-nucleotide ribosomal RNA is filed under the name uncultured bacterium. RNAcentral describes it as "partial 16S ribosomal RNA". It matches the Rfam family "Bacterial small subunit ribosomal RNA", at positions 28 to 507 of the family's 1533-position model. The record is from RNAcentral.